UACGUAGGGUGCAAGCGUUAAUCGGAAUUACUGGGCGUAAAGCGUGCGCAGGCGGUGAUGUAAGACAGUUGUGAAAUCCCCGGGCUCAACCUGGGAACUGCAUCUGUGACUGCAUCGCUGGAGUGCGGCAGAGGGUGAUGGAAUUCCGCGUGUAGCAGUGAAAUGCGUAGAUAUGCGGAGGAACACCGAUGGCGAAGGCAAUCCCCUGGGCCUGUACUGACGCUCAUGCACGAAAGCGUGGGGAGCAAACAGG
This 253-nucleotide ribosomal RNA is filed under the name uncultured bacterium. Its description in RNAcentral is "partial 16S ribosomal RNA". It matches the Rfam family "Bacterial small subunit ribosomal RNA", at positions 524 to 776 of the family's 1533-position model. The record is from RNAcentral.